Molecule: ribosomal RNA, 492 nt
Filed under: uncultured bacterium
Lineage: Bacteria
Description: partial 16S ribosomal RNA
Rfam family: Bacterial small subunit ribosomal RNA
Source: RNAcentral
AGUGAACGCUGGCGGUAGGCCUAACACAUGCAAGUCGAACGGCAGCACAGUAAGAGCUUGCUCUUACGGGUGGCGAGUGGCGGACGGGUGAGGAAUACAUCGGAAUCUACUUUUUCGUGGGGGAUAACGUAGGGAAACUUACGCUAAUACCGUAUACGACCUACGGGUGAAAGCAGGGGAUCUUCGGACCUUGCGCGAUUGAAUGAGCCGAUGUCGGAUUAGCUAGUUGGCGGGGUAAAGGCCCACCAAGGCGACGAUCCGUAGCUGGUCUGAGAGGAUGAUCGGCCACACUGGAACUGAGACACGGUCCAGACUCCUACGGGAGGCAGCAGUGGGGAAUAUUGGACAAUGGGCGCAAGCCUGAUCCAGCCAUACCGCGUGGGUGAAGAAGGCCUUCGGGUUGUAAAGCCCUUUUGUUGGGAAAGAAAAGCAGCAGGUUAAUACCCCGCUGUUCUGACGGUACCCAAAGAAUAAGCACCGGCUAACUUCGUG